This is a non-coding RNA of Cinara cedri, 582 nucleotides long. The record is from the annotation of a GenBank genome assembly. Lineage: Eukaryota; Metazoa; Arthropoda; Insecta; Hemiptera; Aphididae.
AAAAAAAAAAUGCACAAACUUGAGUUUCGAGACAACGCUGCCAAAUUGUCGGUAUGCGAGCAUCGAGUGAAGAUUGCAAUAAUAAUGUCGUUAUUAAAAAUAAUGAUUGGAGAAAUGUUGUGAUAUCAUCUCUGGUACUUGUUUUCCCAAAUACACCAUAAAUACGGUAUUAAAAAGAUGGAUAUACUCCGUACAAUGGGUGGGAUUAUCACUGUUUUAGGUGAAAAGUUGGGAAGCUAAGAUAUAACGGGGAAUUUAAUGUACAUUUAUACGUUGCGACUAAUCAUUUCUAAUGAAAAACAGUUCUGAACGGAGUUCGGUUGUAUGUGUUAUAAAAGACCGUAAUAUUUAUUAUUUUCCCUAAUCUCUGCUGAUUACACUGUUUAAGUAGGUAUGUAAACUCUCGAUAUUUCUAGGUGUCGGAAAAUGGAUUAGGGGUCAAGGCACAAUAUUUCACAGUUGCCCAUCGUUCCCUUUAAAAAUAUGAUUAAUUCGCAUUAUGGUCAUUGCACAUUAUCGACUUUUCUUCUUAAAAUAUUAAUUUUAAAUUUCCCUCCUUCUCUCCAUUGUUUCUAUCCGGUG